This 374-nucleotide ribosomal RNA is filed under the name uncultured organism. RNAcentral describes it as "bacterial SSU rRNA". It matches the Rfam family "Bacterial small subunit ribosomal RNA", at positions 526 to 896 of the family's 1533-position model. The record is from RNAcentral.
CAGAGGUCCCGAGCGUUGUUCGGAUUCACUGGGCGUAAAGGGUGCGUAGGUGGUGGGGUAAGUCGGAUGUGAAAUCUCCGGGCUCAACCCGGAAAAUGCAUUGGAAACUACCUUGCUAGAGGUUUUUGAGGGGGGGACUGGAAUUCUCGGUGUAGCAGUGAAAUGCGUAGAUAUCGAGAGGAACACCGGUGGCGAAGGCGAGUCCCUGGAAAACACCUGACACUGAGGCACGAAAGCUAGGGGAGCAAACAGGAUUAGAUACCCUGGUAGUCCUAGCCCUAAACGGUGCUUGCUUGCUGUAAGUGGAAUCGACCCCACUUGUGGCGGAGCUAACGCGUUAAGCAAGCCGCCUGGGAAGUACGGUCGCAAGAUUA